RNAcentral lists this ribosomal RNA (253 nucleotides) under uncultured bacterium. Its description in RNAcentral is "partial 16S ribosomal RNA". It matches the Rfam family "Bacterial small subunit ribosomal RNA", at positions 524 to 776 of the family's 1533-position model. The record is from RNAcentral.
UACGUAGGGUGCAAGCGUUAAUCGGAAUUACUGGGCGUAAAGCGUGCGCAGGCGGUUAUGCAAGACAGAUGUGAAAUCCCCGGGCUCAACCUGGGAACUGCAUUUGUGACUGCAUAGCUAGAGUACGGUAGAGGGGGAUGGAAUUCCGCGUGUAGCAGUGAAAUGCGUAGAUAUGCGGAGGAACACCGAUGGCGAAGGCAAUCCCCUGGACCUGUACUGACGCUCAUGCACGAAAGCGUGGGGAGCAAACAGA